Molecule: unclassified non-coding RNA, 148 nt
Organism: Papio anubis (olive baboon)
Lineage: Eukaryota; Metazoa; Chordata; Mammalia; Primates; Cercopithecidae
Rfam family: Metazoan signal recognition particle RNA
About the family: The signal recognition particle (SRP) is a universally conserved ribonucleoprotein. It is involved in the co-translational targeting of proteins to membranes.
Source: Ensembl
GCCAGGCAUGGUGGCGCAUGCCUGUAAUCCCAGCUACCGGGGAGGCUGAGGUGGGAGGAUUGCUUAAGCCCAGGAGGCGGAGGUUGCAGUGAGCUGAGAUUGUGCCACUGCACUCCAGCCUGGGUGACAGAGUGAGACUCCAUCUCAA